This 449-nucleotide ribosomal RNA is filed under the name uncultured bacterium. Its description in RNAcentral is "partial 16S ribosomal RNA". It matches the Rfam family "Bacterial small subunit ribosomal RNA", at positions 29 to 523 of the family's 1533-position model. The record is from RNAcentral.
AACGAACGCUGGCGGCAUGCCUAACACAUGCAAGUCGAACGAGACCUUCGGGUCUAGUGGCGCACGGGUGCGUAACGCGUGGGAAUCUACCCUUGGGUUCGGAAUAACAGUUAGAAAUGACUGCUAAUACCGGAUGAUGACGUAAGUCCAAAGAUUUAUCGCCCAAGGAUGAGCCCGCGUAAGAUUAGCUUGUUGGUGGGGUAAUGGCCUACCAAGGCGACGAUCUUUAGCUGGUCUGAGAGGAUGAUCAGCCACACUGGGACUGAGACACGGCCCAGACUCCUACGGGAGGCAGCAGUGGGGAAUAUUGGACAAUGGGCGCAAGCCUGAUCCAGCCAUGCCGCGUGGGUGAUGAAGGCCCUAGGGUUGUAAAGCCCUUUCGGCGGGGAAGAUAGUGACGGUACCCGCAGAAGAAGCCCCGGCUAACUUCGUGCCAGCAGCCGCGGUAA